CGUAGGUCCCGAGCGUUGUCCGGAUUAUUGGGCGUAAAGCGAGCGCAGGCGGUUAGAUAAGUCUGAAGUUAAAGGCUGUGGCUUAACCAUAGUACGCUUUGGAAACUGUUUAACUUGAGUGCAAGAGGGGAGAGUGGAAUUCCAUGUGUAGCGGUGAAAUGCGUAGAUAUAUGGAGGAACACCGGUGGCGAAAGCGGCUCUCUGGCUUGUAACUGACGCUGAGGCUCGAAAGCGUGGGGAGCAAACAGGAUU
RNAcentral lists this ribosomal RNA (252 nucleotides) under uncultured bacterium. RNAcentral's name for it is "partial 16S ribosomal RNA". It matches the Rfam family "Bacterial small subunit ribosomal RNA", at positions 526 to 779 of the family's 1533-position model. The record is from RNAcentral.